RNAcentral lists this ribosomal RNA (1344 nucleotides) under uncultured bacterium. RNAcentral's name for it is "16S ribosomal RNA". It matches the Rfam family "Bacterial small subunit ribosomal RNA". The record is from RNAcentral.
GAACGCUGGCGGCAGGCUUAACACAUGCAAGUCGAGCGGGCGUAGCAAUACGUCAGCGGCAGACGGGUGAGUAACGCGUGGGAACGUACCUUUUGGUUCGGAACAACCCAGGGAAACUUGGGCUAAUACCGGAUAAGCCCUUACGGGGAAAGAUUUAUCGCCGAAAGAUCGGCCCGCGUCUGAUUAGCUAGUUGGUGAGGUAACGGCUCACCAAGGCGACGAUCAGUAGCUGGUCUGAGAGGAUGAUCAGCCACAUUGGGACUGAGACACGGCCCAAACUCCUACGGGAGGCAGCAGUGGGGAAUAUUGGACAAUGGGCGCAAGCCUGAUCCAGCCAUGCCGCGUGAGUGAUGAAGGCCCUAGGGUUGUAAAGCUCUUUUGUGCGGGAAGAUAAUGACGGUACCGCAAGAAUAAGCCCCGGCUAACUUCGUGCCAGCAGCCGCGGUAAUACGAAGGGGGCUAGCGUUGCUCGGAAUCACUGGGCGUAAAGGGUGCGUAGGCGGGUCUUUAAGUCAGGGGUGAAAUCCUGGAGCUCAACUCCAGAACUGCCUUUGAUACUGAGGAUCUUGAGUUCGGGAGAGGUGAGUGGAACUGCGAGUGUAGAGGUGAAAUUCGUAGAUAUUCGCAAGAACACCAGUGGCGAAGGCGGCUCACUGGCCCGAUACUGACGCUGAGGCACGAAAGCGUGGGGAGCGAAUGGGAUUAGAUACCCCAGUAGUCCACGCCGUAAACGAUGGAUACUAGGGGUUGGGAGUUUCGACCCUCUCAGCCUUGUUCAAGCUAACGCGUUAAGUAUGCCGCCUGGGAAGUACGGCCGCAAGGCUAAAACUCAAAGGAAUUGACGGGAGCCCGCACAAGUGUUGGAGCAUGUGGUUUAAUUCGAUGACAAACGAGAAGCCUUACCAGGUCUAGACAUUUAGCUGCACGCCCUAAGAAACUAGGGAAGCCUUCGAGGGUGCUAAACAGGUGCUGCAUGGCUGUCGUCAGCUCGUGGCGUGAGCUGUUGGGUUAAGUCCUCUAACGAGCGCAACCCCUGUCGAGUGUUAAAAUAUUCACUCGAGACUGCCGGCGAUAAGCCGGAGGAAGGAAGGGAUGACGUCAAGUCAGCAUGGUCCUCUGACGACCUGGGCCACACACGUGCUACAAUGGGGUGUAACAAUGGGUUGCCAAAGCGCGAGCUGGAGCCAAUCCCACCAAACCACCCCUCAGUUCGGAUUGAAGGCUGCAACUCGCCUUCAUGAAGCUGGAAUCACUAGUAACCGCGCAUCAGCUAUGGUGCGGUGAAUACGUUCUCGGGCUUUGUACACACCGCCCGUCAAGCCAAGAGAGUCGGGAAUACCCGAA